CCUGGUGCUUAUGGCGGUGUGGAACCACUCCGACCCAUCCCGAACUCGGUUGUGAAACGCACCUGCGGCGAAGAUACUUUGGGGGUUGCCCCACGGGAAAAUAGCUCAGUGCCAGGG
RNAcentral lists this ribosomal RNA (117 nucleotides) under Leptolyngbya sp. SIO4C5. The record is from RNAcentral. Lineage: Bacteria; Bacillati; Cyanobacteriota; Cyanophyceae; Leptolyngbyales; Leptolyngbyaceae.